Molecule: ribosomal RNA, 452 nt
Filed under: uncultured organism
Description: partial 16S ribosomal RNA
Rfam family: Bacterial small subunit ribosomal RNA
Source: RNAcentral
UACACUCCUACGGGAGGCGGCAGUGGGGAAUAUUGGACAAUGGGCGCAAGCCUGAUCCAGCCAUGCCGCGUGAGUGAUGAAGGCCCUAGGGUUGUAAAGCUCUUUCACCGGUGAAGAUAAUGACGGUAACCGGAGAAGAAGCCCCGGCUAACUUCGUGCCAGCAGCCGCGGUAAUACGAAGGGGGCUAGCGUUGUUCGGAUUUACUGGGCGUAAAGCGCACGUAGGCGGACUAUUAAGUCAGGGGUGAAAUCCCGGGGCUCAACCCCGGAACUGCCUUUGAUACUGGUAGUCUUGAGUUCGAGAGGGGUGAGUGGAAUUCCGAGUGUAGAGGUGAAAUUCGUAGAUAUUCGGAGGAACACCAGUGGCGAAGGCGGCUCACUGGCUCGAUACUGACGCUGAGGUGCGAAAGCGUGGGGAGCAAACAGGAUUAGAAACCCCAGUAGUCCCAUGA